This 216-nucleotide ribosomal RNA is filed under the name Glomeromycotina sp. RNAcentral's name for it is "partial small subunit ribosomal RNA". The stretch from base 40 to 216 matches the Rfam family "Eukaryotic small subunit ribosomal RNA", at positions 686 to 864 of the family's 1831-position model. The record is from RNAcentral. Lineage: Eukaryota; Fungi; Glomeromycota.
GGGUCAGUAGGUUGGUCGUGCCACCGGUACGUACUGGUCUCACUGAUUCCUCCUUCCUGAAGAACCGUAAUGCCAUUAAUUUGGUGUUGCGGGGAAACAGGACUGUUACUUUGAAAAAAUUAGAGUGUUUAAAGCAAGCUAACGCAUGAAUACAUUAGCAUGGAAUAAUGAAAUAGGACGAUCGAUCCUAUUUUGUUGGUUUCUAGGAUUGACGUA